Molecule: transfer RNA, 73 nt
Filed under: Paramuricea clavata
Lineage: Eukaryota; Metazoa; Cnidaria; Anthozoa; Malacalcyonacea; Plexauridae
Rfam family: tRNA
About the family: Transfer RNA (tRNA) molecules are approximately 80 nucleotides in length. Their secondary structure includes four short double-helical elements and three loops (D, anti-codon, and T loops). Further hydrogen bonds mediate the characteristic L-shaped molecular structure. tRNAs have two regions of fundamental functional importance: the anti-codon, which is responsible for specific mRNA codon recognition, and the 3' end, to which the tRNAs corresponding amino acid is attached (by aminoacyl-tRNA synthetases). tRNAs cope with the degeneracy of the genetic code in two manners: having more than one tRNA (with a specific anti-codon) for a particular amino acid; and 'wobble' base-pairing, i.e. permitting non-standard base-pairing at the 3rd anti-codon position.
Source: Rfam by way of RNAcentral
GACCGCGUAGCUCAGUUGGAAGAGCAUUGGGCUAGUAUUCCAAAGGUCGUAGGUUCGAAUCCCACCGUGACCU